RNAcentral lists this ribosomal RNA (234 nucleotides) under uncultured bacterium. RNAcentral describes it as "partial 16S ribosomal RNA". It matches the Rfam family "Bacterial small subunit ribosomal RNA", at positions 96 to 334 of the family's 1533-position model. The record is from RNAcentral.
UGGCGGACGGGUGAGUAAUGUCUGGGAAACUGCCCGAUGGAGGGGGAUAACUACUGGAAACGGUAGCUAAUACCGCAUAACGUCGCAGACCAAAGAGGGGGACCUUAGGGCCUCUUGCCAUCGGAUGUGCCCAGAUGGGAUUAGCUAGUAGGUGGGGUAAUGGCUCACCUAGGCGACGAUCCCUAGCUGGUCUGAGAGGAUGACCAGCCACACUGGAACUGAGACACGGUCCAG